CCUACGGGAGGCAGCAGUGGGGAAUUUUGGACAAUGGGCGAAAGCCUGAUCCAGCAAUGCCGCGUGAGUGAAGAAGGCCUUCGGGUUGUAAAGCUCUUUUGUCAGGGAAGAAACGGUGAGAGCUAAUAUCUCUUGCUAAUGACGGUACCUGAGGAAUAAGCACCGGCUAACUACGUGCCAGCAGCCGCGGUAAUACGUAGGGUGCAAGCGUUAAUCGGAAUUACUGGGCGUAAAGCGUGCGCAGGCGGUUUUGUAAGUCUGAUGUGAAAUCCCCGGGCUCAACCUGGGAAUUGCAUUGGAGACUGCAAGGCUAGAAUCUGGCAGAGGGGGGUAGAAUUCCACGUGUAGCAGUGAAAUGCGUAGAUAUGUGGAGGAACACCGAUGGCGAAGGCAGCCCCCUGGGUCAAGAUUGACGCUCAUGCACGAAAGCGUGGGGAGCAAACAGGAUUAGAUACCCUGGUAGUCCACGCCCUAAACGAUGUCUACUAGUUGUCGGGUCUUAAUUGACUUGGUAACGCAGCUAACGCGUGAAGUAGACCGCCUGGGGAGUACGGUCGCAAGNUUAAAACGUCAAAUGAAUUGACGG
RNAcentral lists this ribosomal RNA (586 nucleotides) under uncultured bacterium. RNAcentral's name for it is "bacterial SSU rRNA". It matches the Rfam family "Bacterial small subunit ribosomal RNA", at positions 338 to 916 of the family's 1533-position model. The record is from RNAcentral.